UUGAACGCUGGCGGCAUGCCUUACACAUGCAAGUCGAACGGGCAUAGGAGCUUGCUCCUGAUGGCGAGUGGCGAACGGGUGAGUAAUAUAUCGGAACGUGCCCUAGAGUGGGGGAUAACUAGUCGAAAGAUUAGCUAAUACCGCAUACGAUCUACGGAUGAAAGUGGGGGAUCGCAAGACCUCAUGCUCAUGGAGCGGCCGAUAUCUGAUUAGCUAGUUGGUGGGGUAAAAGCUCACCAAGGCGACGAUCAGUAGCUGGUCCGAGAGGACGACCAGCCACACUGGGACUGAGACACGGCCCAGACUCCUACGGGAGGCAGCAGUGGGGAAUUUUGGACAAUGGGGGCAACCCUGAUCCAGCAAUGCCGCGUGAGUGAAGAAGGCCUUCGGGUUGUAAAGCUCUUUUGUCAGGGAAGAAAGGUUGCAGCUAAUAUCUGCGACUAAUGACGGUACCUGAAGAAUAAGCACCGGCUAACUACGUGCCAGCAGCCGCGGUAAUACGUAGGGUGCAAGCGUUAAUCGGAAUUACUGGGCGUAAAGCGUGCGCAGGCGGUUGUGUAAGUCAGAUGUGAAAUCCCCGGGCUCAACCUGGGAAUUGCAUUUGAGACUGCACGGCUAGAGUGUGUCAGA
RNAcentral lists this ribosomal RNA (630 nucleotides) under uncultured Herbaspirillum sp. RNAcentral's name for it is "bacterial SSU rRNA". It matches the Rfam family "Bacterial small subunit ribosomal RNA", at positions 29 to 655 of the family's 1533-position model. Lineage: Bacteria; Pseudomonadati; Pseudomonadota; Betaproteobacteria; Burkholderiales; Oxalobacteraceae. The record is from RNAcentral.